Molecule: non-coding RNA, 113 nt
Organism: Acanthosepion pharaonis
Lineage: Eukaryota; Metazoa; Mollusca; Cephalopoda; Sepiida; Sepiidae
Source: the annotation of a GenBank genome assembly
UUACGGCCACAUUACGCUGAAACGACGGCUCCUGUGCUAUCACUGAAGCUAAGCAACAUCGAGUAUGGUCAGUACUUAGGUGGGUGACUGCUUAGGAAUACCAGGUGUUGUAA